AUAUUUGAUAGGCCAAUGGUGACUUUGCUGGAGGAAUUUCAGUGGAACAGUAAGAGAUGAAAUUUUGAUUACUGUGGUAUUCAAAGGAUGAAACAUAAACCUCUUGAGGACAGAGAUUUUUUUGUCUGUUCACUGUCUUAGGACUUCACUAUAUUCCUGCUACAGAGAGGCUCCAUACCUACCUAACAUCUAUCUUCUCAAGAACUCUGCCAGGGAAGGAGUAGUUUCUGUGUUUCAUAAACAGACUGAGACUCAAAGAGGCUAAGUAAACUACCUGAAGCCAUAUAUAGCAACACACAAUGACGGAUGUGAGAUUCAAACUUGGAUUUAUCUGGCUCCAAAAUUUCUAGUUUUUUUUUUUUUUUUUUUCCCACUACAGCAAAACUAAGGAGAAGAGACAGAGGUGAAUAGCUGUCUCUCAGUGGUUAUUCUGUUUUCCCUUAUCUACAUGUUUUCCUCCUUUCACUCUCUCUUGGUUUGUUCUUAUCCUUCAGAGGUAAAGAGGAGCCUUCAGAGAGCUAUAAAGGUUGAUCAAAGUACCAGAUUAUGAGAUUAUUUGGAGGCUAAUAUGUAAUCCUUGGGGUUUCCUUUCUCAUCUCACCCUUACAGCUGCCUGUAUUAAUGCUUUCUGAUUAACAUAUGGUCUCCUUUUUAUUCUAGAAAACACUAGAUCUGAAUAACAAAGGAUGCAUACUUAAGCAAACUAAGGCAUAUAUAGUUAUCACUAAAUGCUCAACCUGGAAAGAAUACUGGAUUGCAGUCUGCUUUUUCUGUAAAGACAAUAGUAUUAUAAAACCGAAAGAGACAACAGGGAAUAUUUCCCACUCAACUAAGCAUAUCUAAAAGCACAUUUGAAGUUUGGAGACAAUAUUCUGUGUUAUUUUAAGAAAAGAUUCUAUAGCAUUAUUACCUGGUGGUAAGAAAAUAACAUGUAAAAGAAAAGGUAAUAAGAAUAAAAAAAAUAAGUAAAAGUAUGUGAACAUGCUAGACCUG
RNAcentral lists this long non-coding RNA (993 nucleotides) under Homo sapiens (human). RNAcentral's name for it is "HSALNT0041330". The record is from RNAcentral. Lineage: Eukaryota; Metazoa; Chordata; Mammalia; Primates; Hominidae.